GCUCAGCUGGAGCCUUCCCUGUGCAUCCCCUGCUCUGGGCUUGCACCUGGGGCUGGGAAUUGGCACCUGGAGCAGCCCUUGGAGGGCAUUUCCAUGGGGAAAGAGGAGUUAAUUCCCUGCCAGGUUUGCAGGAGCAGCUGGGCACGGUUGGGUUUGAUGGAGGAGCUGAUGGGAUUCUGCUGUGCAGCACCCACAGCUGCUGCUGGUUGCCCCAGCCCCUAUAAAAGCAGGAUGGCCACAGCCCUACCCUUUUCUGAGCAGCCUCCUGAGCUUCUCUGAGUGGGGAUUUUCCUCCUUCCCGCUGGAAUUGUGCUCUCCCAGCACCCAAGAAGCAGCAGCAGCGUUUGAGAGCAGAAAUGAGCAGCCCUGGCAGGACUACAAAGGGCUCCGGAGGAGCAGGUACGCCGGGGAUGAGGUCGAAUUCUGCCCUGAUUUACACCUCACAACCUGGCAGCAGCUAAAGUUUUGCAGACAACCCGACGAGAUAAUCAUCACACGCUGGCAAUCACUUGCCAUCAAUUAUCCCCACGCUGCUGCUGUCAGUGGAUCACAGCCCCUACCUGGUGGGAGUCACUGCUGGUGCCACCGAGGCAUUUUCCAGAAAUGUAGGACUGGGGAGGAUGGGAAACAGCUUCCAGACAGGCUCUGAGAUUGAUAUGCAAGCCAAAGGGAAAUGCAUUAAACUAUUUAACUGCCUGGAAAUCCAGCAUAAUGAACAUCCAAAGCAUCUCCUUCCAGAGGCUGAUUCCUGCCGUGUUUGAAGCAUAAUUGCUGAUAUUCAGGAUCGUUUUCCAGCCCCUCCCAAUAGCAGGGAGCUGUUUUCAGGCACCAGCAGGAUCCCACCCAUUCCUGGGAGCUUCGCAGCACACCCCAGUGAUAAAUCUUGUUUUUUGGGACUUAUGGCCACAUAACCCCCCCAGAGCAGCACCUGAGCUGGAGACUGUGGGGAAAACAAAAAAAGAGUUGCCAGAGUUCCCAGCACUGCUGCUGUGGGAUGAGACAGGAAUCCUCCUGCCCCUGGAAGGUACAGGUUUGACGUUCCAGUGAGUAUUUCUGGAUGAAACUGAGCUUGAACACCAGAGGGAAGCCUAAGACCCCCUUUCUUGGAAGGUGGGAAUUCCCAUUUUCCAUGGGGCAAACUGUGCUCCAACUCCCCUCCCGUGCAGUUCCUUGAAACAAAUCAUACUUUGGGGAUAAUUUCUGGAAGAUCUAUCCUGAAGCUGGAUGGGAGGAAGGUCAAAGCCACCUCCAUUCCAAAGCUCCAGCAGUGACCCCACAACAGGAACAUCAGUGCCAGCACUGGGAAUUCUGAAGACCAGACGGAAAAUAUUCCUCAGUGGAGCCCCAGUAUUUGAGUGACACAACAGCAACAUUCCCUCUAAGUGUGUGGGGCAGCCAGGUGAGAGAGGCUUUGUUGGCACUGCUGGGGAUGCUCUGACACCGACUCCUGGCCCCGCUGGAGGCUUCCAAGCACACCACGCUUUCCAAAUGGGAUUGCACCUGGAGAUCUGCACCUUCUCCAGCCUGGAAGGAGCAGCCAGAAUGAGAGUGCCUUGCUGAGGCUGUGCUGCAGACAGUGCCCAGAUCCCAAAAAAACAAUGGAAUAACCCCUUCAAGGCUCUUCUGUGCUCCCCUCUUGAUGGGAAAACACUGCUUGGCUCAGUUUUGCAUCAGCACAACUCUUCCCCAGCACAUCCUUUGGGACAGGAAUGGAGCAGCUCUUUGGGAAGUCUGUGAAGCCUUUGGUUUGUCAUGGCUGCUUCUGGGCACUGAUGGCACAGGAGGUGAGGGGAUCCCUUCUCUUCUCCUGAGGCAGCUUCCCUAAAAGAAAGGUCAGCCAUGAGGUCACUCAUUAUUGGACCAGAGCUCAGCUCUGGUUUCUUUUGCACUGUCCCUACCCCUCAGGUGCUGACUGCAAGCUCACACAGGUGAUGUUCCUUAAAUCCUUAACUCCCAGAAGGGCAGAAUUGCAUCAGAACCUCCACUUGCAGCUCACCUCACCUCACCUCACCCUCAUCUCUUACCUGGGCCAAGACAAGUGCUGCCCAUCUCACCCUUCAUGGAGAACACUGGAACAAGAAGAGUCGAGGCCACCAUCCUGCCUGCUAUGAGCUUCCCAGCUUGUCCAGCUGGAAAUUGUAAAAUUCCACGUACAGAACCUAGGCUUCUUGAGACCGGGGAGUGUGACAACCCAGUCUGCUCAGUGAUGGAAAGUUCGAAACUGGAAAUGUACCUGGAUGCCACCCUGAGUCAGCCCAAACCGAAGCAUCUCUACAAAACACCUAGAUGUGAACAAACUGCCGUCCUCUGACAAAAAUAUUCCGUCUGAGAAUUUCUGACCAGCUCCAGCGGUAAACACCUCCAGGGUGUCCUUUUUGUCUGAUACAGGGCAAAAAUUAUUCGGGUACCUGUUGCUCGGGUGGAAAGAUGAGGGAAUGGAAUACUAAAUUAAAGGAGUUGGAACAAAAA
Molecule: long non-coding RNA, 2469 nt
Organism: Taeniopygia guttata (zebra finch)
Lineage: Eukaryota; Metazoa; Chordata; Aves; Passeriformes; Estrildidae
Source: Ensembl